RNAcentral lists this non-coding RNA (27 nucleotides) under Rattus norvegicus (Norway rat). Lineage: Eukaryota; Metazoa; Chordata; Mammalia; Rodentia; Muridae. The record is from RNAcentral.
AAGUGGUGAAAUAGACAAGGCCUGGUG